This 1417-nucleotide ribosomal RNA is filed under the name uncultured bacterium. RNAcentral's name for it is "bacterial SSU rRNA". It matches the Rfam family "Bacterial small subunit ribosomal RNA". The record is from RNAcentral.
GAUGAACGCUGGCGGCGUGCUUAACACAUGCAAGUCGAACGAACCUUCGGGUUAGUGGCGGACGGGUGAGUAACGCGUGGGAAUCUGCCCUCAGGAGGGGGAUAACGGUUGGAAACGACCGCUAAUACCCCAUAUGCCGAGAGGUGAAAUGAAUUUCGCCUGAGGAUGAGCCCGCGUCUGAUUAGCUUGUUGGUGAGGUAAUGGCUCACCAAGGCAUCGAUCAGUAGCUGGUCUGAGAGGAUGAUCAGCCACACUGGGACUGAGACACGGCCCAGACUCCUACGGGAGGCAGCAGUGGGGAAUUUUCCGCAAUGGGCGAAAGCCUGACGGAGCAACGCCGCGUGAGGGACGAAGGCCUCUGGGCUGUAAACCUCUUUUCUCAAGGAAGAAGAUAUGACGGUACUUGAGGAAUAAGCCACGGCUAAUUCCGUGCCAGCAGCCGCGGUAAUACGGGAGUGGCAAGCGUUAUCCGGAAUUAUUGGGCGUAAAGCGUCCGCAGGCGGCCUUUCAAGUCUGCUGUUAAAACGUGGAGCUCAACUCCAUCAUGGCAGUGGAAACUGAUUGGCUUGAGUAUGGUAGGGGCAGAGGGAAUUCCCGGUGUAGCGGUGAAAUGCGUAGAUAUCGGGAAGAACACCAGUGGCGAAGGCGCUCUGCUGGGCCAUUACUGACGCUCAUGGACGAAAGCCAGGGGAGCGAAAGGGAUUAGAUACCCCUGUAGUCCUGGCCGUGAACGAUGAACACUAGGUGUCGGGGGAAUCGACCCCUUCGGUGUCGUAGCUAACGCGUUAAGUGUUCCGCCUGGGGAGUACGCACGCAAGUGUGAAACUCAAAGGAAUUGACGGGGGCCCGCACAAGCGGUGGAGUAUGUGGUUUAAUUCGAUGCAACGCGAAGAACCUUACCAGGGCUUGACAUCCUGCGAACCUCUAAGAAAUUAGAGGGUGCCUUCGGGAACGCAGUGACAGGUGGUGCAUGGCUGUCGUCAGCUCGUGUCGUGAGAUGUUGGGUUAAGUCCCGCAACGAGCGCAACCCACGUUUUUAGUUGCCAGCAUUUAGUUGGGCACUCUAGAAAGACCGCCGGUGAUAAACCGGAGGAAGGUGUGGAUGACGUCAAGUCAUCAUGCCCCUUACGUCCUGGGCUACACACGUACUACAAUGCUACGGACAAAGGGCAGCAAACUCGCGAGAGCUAGCAAAUCCCAUAAACCGUGGCUCAGUUCAGAUCGUAGGCUGCAACUCGCCUACGUGAAGUAGGAAUCGCUAGUAAUCGCAGGUCAGCAUACUGCGGUGAAUACGUUCCCGGGCCUUGUACACACCGCCCGUCACACCAUGGAAGUUGGCCGCGCCCGAAGUCGUUACUUUAACCCUUGUGGAGAAGGACGCCGAAGGUGGGGCUGAUGACUGGGGUGAAGUCGUAAC